This 1188-nucleotide long non-coding RNA is filed under the name Varanus komodoensis (Komodo dragon). Its description in RNAcentral is "lncRNA (ENSVKKG00000011666.1)". The record is from RNAcentral. Lineage: Eukaryota; Metazoa; Chordata; Lepidosauria; Squamata; Varanidae.
CCAGAAACGUGUCCUUUUUCAAGUUGCAAAACCAGCCAAGGCGAAGUGGGCUGUUGGGAAAGGCAUUCAGGAGGGUCACCCUGGGGAAGAGCCCGGCAGGGGGAAGGGGCGGCGGGGGAGAAGGGCAGGAGGUGGAAGAGGAGGAGGAGGAGGAGGAGGAAGCGGAGGCGAUCGGCUCGCCGGACGCCCGCCCCGGCCAGCCAGCCCCGCACCGUCCGCGGGCUAGCAGCAGGAUCCGUCGGCACACCGGCGAGGAACCAACGCGGAGGAGAGAGCCCGGAGUUGUCCGCCUUCGCCGCCUUCGCCGCCGCCGCCGCUGCUGGUAAGGCUGCCGGAGCUGCGGCCGCCUCCGUCGCCGCCGCCACCGCCGCCGCCGCUGCUCGCCGCCGGGCCCCGGCCGGGGGUGCCGCCGCUGGAUCGCGCCCGUCGCCGCGAGGCUGGGAGUGGAGGAAGGCCGGCGCCGGCGCGGCCGAGGCGCGGCUGCCGCUCAGGGCGCGCGGGUGUCCGGGGGCCAGGUCCGAGGCAGCGCGGCGCAGUCAGCCAUUCAGGAGAGGCGCUUCGGGAGGCUCCGGCGGCGACGUGGAGGACGCGAGAGCCGAGUUGGGGAGACACUUUGGGGUGCUCCUGCCGCCGCCGCCGCCGCUGGUGCCGCCGCCGCCGCCGCCGCCGCUCCUUGCAGUCCUGCCGCCGCCGCCGCCGCCGCCGCUUCUUCGCUCGGUUCUCUCCUUCUCUCGCUUUCCUCUCUUAAUUUCGGUGGGAAAGAUACAAAGGCACAGCCCAAGCCGCUUCGCGCUCGCCCAGCAUACGGAGGAUCCCCAGCCAAGUGCCAAAGCAAAAAGCGAACAUGGAGAGAAGCGAAUGUCACACACACGAAGGGGAGGGAAAAAGCCAAAGGAGAGAGAGAGAGAUCCAAAGAAUUACAGUACUUGGAUUGGAUUCCAUUGUUUAAUGACUGCACCUAGAUGGCUAAGGAGAUUCCAUAAGGAAUAUUUACACACUUACAACAGAAUCCUAUGCAUGUCUACUCAAAACCCGGCAGUAUGCAUUCAGAGGAAUUUUGCCUCUUCCCCUGAAGGUUUCGUCAUCAUGACUUACACCAGGGGUGGACUGAAGAUACAACCAGAGCUACUAGAAUAUCUCUGCAGUGGAUCCACAGAUAUUUCUUACCUUUCUCCCACCUUUAAAUGA